This 25-nucleotide non-coding RNA is filed under the name Mus musculus (house mouse). The record is from RNAcentral. Lineage: Eukaryota; Metazoa; Chordata; Mammalia; Rodentia; Muridae.
UGUCCACCACUGAGCCUUCCGUCUC